AAAAAAAUAUAUCCAUCUGUGUUUUAAAGAGGGGACUAUACCUGCAUACUCGUGUGGCUUCCAUGUUCUUGAUUUAAGUUUCAGAGUAGGCAUCCUGGAUUUUCCCAGGAUGCUCUACUGUUAAAAUAGUGCCAUUCAUUUUCUAGGUGGGACCAUAUUCUACACUCUGACAUCUUGUUGGGUUUGGCCUAGAGCAUCAGGCCUUCGGGAAACAGAACAUCCUCCCCUGUGCCAACUUCCCUUCUCCUCUCCCAAAGAGCUUCCUGUGUGCUGGGCUUUAGGUUGAGGAAGGGGCUGAAGGGAGGGGGCUGUGCUGCUGUGCUUUGUGAAAUCAGUUUGUGGCUGACAACAGCCCUUAGCUUCUGUCUUGCUCCUGGUCUGGGUGGGAUUCCAGAGUAUUUUGUUGGACGAUCUAUGGGCUGUUGCUCUACUUUGAGCCUCUCACUCAUUGCCUGCACCAAUUGGAAACCCAUCCAGGGAGCAGAGCGCCAAAGCCAAGAGAAGCCCUCGUUCCCUGUCUGGUGACUGAGUGAUGGGGCUCAUGGGCAGAGUCCUCCCAUCUCAGGCAGUUCUAGACAAAAUGUAGUGUUUGCACUCCACUGUGAGUAAUGUCUGGGCUGACCCAUUCUAACGUUUGUCUCAGGAUCCAUACUACUUGCCUUGCUUUUACAGUUUCGGAGCCUUUCACAUUUGGUACUGGCAGUCAGUGAGUUUUAAUGAUGACCAUAUAUGGGGUGUGACUUUAUAAAGCAAGGAAACAAGAAAAGUAGUUUUAAUGUAAAUAAUUUUUCUACCUUGCUUUUCUCUCCAUACUUAAAUGGUCAGUAGCUACUGAGGGGUGCCUCAUCUCAGCAGCCUUGGCUUGAAACAAAGUAGAAAAUGGGACUGGCUUCCAGCAGGAAGUGAGGUUCUUCAGAGUCUGUGGCUCCCCUGCCCGGCGCCUGUGGCUCGUCUGGAUUAGCCCUGUCGGCAGCAGACCCUCUCAUGUUGUCCUUUAAAGAUUGAACUGAGUGUCUUCAAUAGAAGCCGUCUGAGGCAAGGAAGAGUGAGUGGGAGUAAGGAAUGGAAACCAAAGUCAGGAGAAUAUUUUUUUUUCAUUCUGUUUGCUUAAUUCAUGGUUCAUUAUUUGGGUACAAUUUGUACCAUUUCAGAUUUGUACUCCAGACAAAAAUAUAGUAACUUGAAAUAUUGUGUUUAAAGAAAUUCUAGUGUUCUAUCAUCAUUAAAUUAUUUACCUAA
RNAcentral lists this long non-coding RNA (1239 nucleotides) under Equus caballus (horse). RNAcentral describes it as "lncRNA (ENSECAG00000051789.1)". Lineage: Eukaryota; Metazoa; Chordata; Mammalia; Perissodactyla; Equidae. The record is from RNAcentral.